UGUGGCCAGAACUCUUCGGGUCUGAGGACACUGUUCACCUCCGUAUGUGGUAGGCUUUCUUCCAGCUUUUUAUUGAAAUCUCAAACUAUGUCUUGAUUAGAAGACAAACCCUAAACGUUUUCUCUAGGGGAAACAAGAACGUGCAAAGCUUCUGGACUUGGAUCAAAAUGACGAAAAUUGUUUUUCAGACAUUCUGCAUUUCCUGGGAGGUGAAAAUAAAGCUGAACCCAGACAGAACUGAGAACUCUGUGGCCAGAAGCUGGUGUUCUGAGGGCUGAUGUCACACAGCCCAGUGGGUCUCCAAGCCCCAGAACAUACCCGUCCCUCCCUUGAGCUCUGGUACAAGACAGCACGUCUGGAAGUCAGCUCAGGGCGCCUGGACUCAGGGAGGUGUUGCUACCAUUCAAAUCGUUGGCUUUUCUCCAGGAGUCACUUCUCUUCUCUCCAGGGAUUACCAAGCUUUUGAAGGGACCCACUCCUCAAGGCUCAGAGUGUUUGAUUAAAUUGCUCGUUCCAGGUGUGCGCUUGGCCACAAGAUGAUACUUGAGAGGCUUGACUUCAAGAUUAUGAUCACCGUUGCGGGCGGCCUCCUGAUGGCCGCGAGCCUGCUGAUGUGCUUUAUCAUCUGUCUUAGCUACAAAGUGACAAAGUCAAUGAACGGAGAGAAGAUGGAAAAUGUAACAAGCACUGACGCUGACAAAAAAGAUAAGAAACCCACUUUGGAAGCAGGUCAACCUGAGGUUCCGCCAACUCCAGCGUCAAAGCCCCGGUGACAGUCUUGGAGAGAGAUGCCCUGGGGACCCUCAGUCCAGACAGGUGGGGCCCCGGCGUCUCCCGGCCACAGUGCUGCCUUGGGAAGCACAGUCAGCCCGGCUGCCUCCCGACUCUGUCCCUUCAGUGUCCACGGUCCCUCGAGGGUAGGAGCCGCCUCUCACCCCUGGGGUCCCCGCACACAGCCCAGACUCCUUAGGUGUCAGGGGUAAUAACCCCCUGUCACCUUUGCACCAGAUAAACCUCUCAGACACAGCAGUAAAUCAUGAAUAGCAUUAAUUUUGCUGACUGGGAAGAGUAUGUUACGCAUUAGGAUGUUUAGUAAAAUAAUUUCCUGCUAGUUUAUUUUCUGAAAACCCAUAUAUAUCACAAUGUCUUUAUUUUACCACCCACUCGCAUUUAACAUAAUUGCAUCAGCAUUUAACGUAAUAGCUGGCAUGGGGCUAUUAUCUUAACUCAUUAAGUGAGUUACUAUAUGUAACGAAUGAGUUAAAGCCCCUAAAAUGUGGAAUGGUGCCUGAGAACACAUCCUGUAAUUAGGAGCUCAGCUAAGAGGUCUAAAGGAAACAUCUUCAACUCACUGCUGACCACCAGGGCCCGAGGCCCAGCCCUAGUUCAGCACACAGAUUCCUGCCCAAUGCUGUACUCUUCUCAGAGGUCUUCCUUCACCAGCACUCUGGGAGUGGGCUGGGGUGGGCACACGAGAGCCCAUGUCGGGGGGGAACACAGCACAGCAAACCCUCCCCAGCACCCGUGUGGAACGCCUGCUCCCUGCUCUCUCCUCUCCCACCCCACGUUCUGUCCCUUCUGAUCCUUAAGAAGG
Long non-coding RNA from Bubalus bubalis (water buffalo), 1594 nucleotides. RefSeq lists it as uncharacterized. The record is from RefSeq and is a predicted model, not a curated record. The transcript is spliced from 4 exons. Lineage: Eukaryota; Metazoa; Chordata; Mammalia; Artiodactyla; Bovidae.